RNA transcript from Andrographis paniculata, 2010 nucleotides. It is a transcript of the gene named protein FLX-like 3, with no coding region annotated. The record is from RefSeq and is a predicted model, not a curated record. The transcript has 7 exons. NCBI's taxonomy places the organism in Eukaryota, Viridiplantae, Streptophyta, Magnoliopsida, Lamiales, Acanthaceae.
CUAUGUAUAUGCCCUUCGGCUCUGAUUCUAUUUCUAUUUUCUGCCGAAUAUAUUUAAUUAACCAAACCCUAUCGAGCGGUGUGUGUCAGUUUUUUCGCCGGUGCUCCGACGCUGCAUCGCCGAUAUCUUCGUCCCUGAAGGUUGAGAUGGCAGGAAGAAAUCGAGUUGCUCGUGAAGCUUUUGAUCACCGUCGUGGUUAUCCCCCAGAAGGACCUGUUGCUCGAGGUCCUUUGCCCCAUCCCAUUCCUCCUCACCCUGCCGUAUUAGAGGAAGAACUUGAAAUUCGGCAUGUCGAGAUUCGUAGACUUAUAGGAGAGAAUCGGAGAUUGGUUGAGGAUCGAAUUGCUUUGGAGCGAGAGUUGACUGCUGCAAAGGAAGAGUUGCGACGCAUGAAUAUUGCAGUUGCUGAUAUGCGUGCCGACCAAGAACUCCAAUCCAGGGAGCUUAUUGACCGAGUUAUGAAGUUGGAAGCUGAGCUUCGUGCAAAUGAACCAGUUAAAAAUGAGGUUGCUCACCUCCGAGCCGAGGUUCAAAGGCUGAAUGCCAUCAGGCAAGACCUAUCUGGCCAAGUUCAGACAUUUUCUCAAGACCUUGCAAAGUUGAGGGCUGAUAACCAGAGGAUUCCUGCUUUGAAGAAUGAGAAUGAUGGGUUACAUCAAGAACUUCUGCGAACCAGAGCUGCCAUUGACUAUGAAAAGAAUGCAAAUAUUGAAUUAUUGGAGCAGAGACAAUCAAUGGAGAAAAACAUGAUUAAUAUGGCUCGUGAAGUUGAGAAGCUUCGUUCUGAGAUUACUAAUUUUGGUGCUAGGGCUUGGAAUGCAGGUGGUCCUUAUGGCGGGGUGGCAUUUAGCAAUCCGGAUGCCAAUUUUCCUAUUCCUUAUGCAAGUGGAUAUGGAGCUCGUCAGGGUGCUGGAGAUAAGGGCCCAAACUAUGGUUCUAGUUCUACUUCCUGGGGAAGCCAUGAAAAAUCGCGGAUGGGUCGUCGCUGAGAUGUGGAUGGAUAUGAGGACACUUCAAAAGUUCUAUUCAUCACUUGCCUGAUGGAGCAAAAGGAUCAAGUGUGGUUUCUUACAUGAGAUCCUUUGUGCUUUGGCAUGGUCCUGGAACAACAGAAAAGGAUGACGGUGGGCUGCUGUAUGAUGAUGGCAAACUUCACUUCAUAGGCAAAAACCCUCCAGUUUUGUAGGCUUGGAUCGGGUACUUCUAACAGUAUCAUCUUCCGGGGGAUAAGGUAAGGUAAGUUCAUCAGGUAUGUCUUUCUCCCGAGGAUAUCUGAUUCAUGUCAUUAUUUCCGGCACACUUUGAAUGCAUGAUAGGCGCGAAGCUCCUGGUAAUAGGUCCAGUAUCAAUUAUGCUAAUGACCAUAAUUAUUGUGCCUAUAGUUAUGAUAAACUACAGAAUCCGGCUGCUUUUGUCAUAUUUUAAAUCCAUAGUCAACCCUGAGAAUAAAUAUCCUAUCACAUGAAACCUUAACAAAACCUUUUUACUUCACUUAUAUAGGACCGGUUCUUAUAAUUUGGAUUAUAGCACCGCCACUAAACUUAAAUUAGAUUUAGAGUUUGCUAUACACCAAAAGAUUUGUUUUGAAUCCAAAAUCCACCUUUCAAAGCACUCUCAUGCUUUUUAUUACGCAUUUUUAAAUUGCAUCCAAACCCAAUUUGAUUACUUUUACCCUCUCAAUGACUUAUUUCGGUUGUUUACAUUUUUGUAUCAUUACUGUUGUGUUACUUUGAUUACCCAUAUAUAUCCUUAGAAUACUGCACUUGCAUCACACCAUAUAGGUGCUCUUAUUGUUACACCUGGAAGAAAAUAGCUAUGGUUGUAUUCAAAAUUCUAGGUCAAGUGUUUCCUUUUUCUUUUCGAUUUUCAUGAGCUUUUUAUUGUUUAAAUACAUUACCUGUUCUUCCUUCUUCAUGAAGUGGUGACAUUGUGAUGGAAGGGUGUACGUAUAGCCAUAAUGUGUGUAUCUAUAUAUAUUGAUAGACAUGAUCCUGUACCUGUUUUAAGUUC